RNAcentral lists this small RNA (27 nucleotides) under Bombyx mori (domestic silkworm). RNAcentral's name for it is "ovarian small RNA-36534". The record is from RNAcentral. Lineage: Eukaryota; Metazoa; Arthropoda; Insecta; Lepidoptera; Bombycidae.
UUACGCAGCGGACCGCGCGAUGGCAGU